AUGGUAGCAAUGGUUACAAAGAGCAGCUUCCUUAGGAGUGCGUGUACCAUGUUACCGACAUGGUUACCGAAGGGACCUUGGAAACAAUU
Molecule: small nucleolar RNA, 89 nt
Filed under: Peromyscus maniculatus bairdii (prairie deer mouse)
Lineage: Eukaryota; Metazoa; Chordata; Mammalia; Rodentia; Cricetidae
Description: Small nucleolar RNA SNORA70 (ENSPEMG00000026936.1)
Rfam family: Small nucleolar RNA SNORA70
About the family: snoRNA U70 seems to be exclusive to mammals and is a member of the H/ACA class of snoRNA which contain H (ANANNA) and ACA box motifs. H/ACA box snoRNAs are involved in the conversion of uridines to pseudouridines (5-ribosyluracil) a constituent of structural RNAs (transfer, ribosomal, small nuclear, and small nucleolar).
Source: RNAcentral